Molecule: ribosomal RNA, 511 nt
Filed under: uncultured bacterium
Lineage: Bacteria
Description: bacterial SSU rRNA
Rfam family: Bacterial small subunit ribosomal RNA
Source: RNAcentral
AUUGAACGCUGGCGGCAGGCCUAACACAUGCAAGUCGAGCGGCAGCGGGAAAGUAGCUUGCUACUUUUGCCGGCGAGCGGCGGACGGGUGAGUAAUGCCUGGGGAUCUGCCCAGUCGAGGGGGAUAACAGUUGGAAACGACUGCUAAUACCGCAUACGCCCUACGGGGGAAAGCAGGGGACCUUCGGGCCUUGCGCGAUUGGAUGAACCCAGGUGGGAUUAGCUAGUUGGGGAGGUAAUGGCUCACCAAGGCGACGAUCCCUAGCUGGUCCGAGAGGAUGAUCAGCCACACUGGAACUGAGACACGGUCCAGACUCCUACGGGAGGCAGCAGUGGGGAAUAUUGCACAAUGGGGGAAACCCUGAUGCAGCCAUGCCGCGUGUGUGAAGAAGGCCUUCGGGUUGUAAAGCACUUUCAGCGAGGAGGAAAGGUUGGUAGCGAAUAACUGCCAGCUGUGACGUUACUCGCAGAAGAAGCACCGGCUAACUCCGUGCCAGCCGCCGCCGUAAGAC